GCCACAUUACCUCUCCCCUCUAUCUGCAGGUCAGGAGUGUGACGGGACACUCCCCGCUUCCCUGGGUGGAGUUAGUCCAUGCACACAACAUCUGCCACAUUACCUCUCCCCGCCAUCAGCAGGUCAGGAGUGUGACGGGACACUCCCCGCUUCCCUGGGUGGAGUUAGUCCAUGCACCCUGCAUCCGCCACAUUACCUCUCCCCUCCAGCUACAGGUCAGGAGUGUGACGGGACACUCCCCGCUUCCCUGGGUGGAGUUAGUCCACGCACUCCGCAUCCGCCACAUUACCCUCCACAAAUCAGGAGUGUGAUGGGACACUCCCCACUUGCCUGGGUGGAGUUAGUCCAUGCACUCCGCAUCCGCCACAUUACCUCUCCCCUCUAUCUGCAGGUCAGGAGUGUGACGGGACACUCCCCGCUUCCCUGGGUGGAGUUAGUCCAUGCACCCUGCAUCUGCCACAUUACCUCUCCCCUCCAGCUACAGGUCAGGAGUGUGACAGGACACUCCCCGCUUCCCUGGGGGGAGUUGCAGCUCCAACGACUCUCGAGAAACUCGAUAGCAUCCUGGACAGAGCAGACCGCUCGAUCGGCGCCCCACCCACCUCCCCCCGGCCUUCGGAACCCUCCCACCCCUCCCUCCGCCACAGUGGGCGCACCGUUUACAGAACGCACCGGGCUCUCUCGCCUGGGGGCGACCCCGAUGGCACUUCCCGAACCCUGUGGUGUGGGAGGGGUGGUGAGGGAGCGCCACAAUUCAAGGAGUGCAGAGCUGCCCUCAAACACUAAUUGGGGCAGGAGGAGGCUGUUCACUCCUCUCGAUGUUCCGCAAUUUAAUAAUAUUGUGGUUGAUUUGAUUGUAACCUCAAUGCGCUGUUCCCCACCCACCUGUUACCCCUCCCCAUCGCUAAUCAAGAAUCUCUAAAAUAUCAAGGACUUUGCUUCCGAUGUCAAUUGAUGAAGAGAGUUCCAACGACUCGUCAGAAAUCGUUUUUGUCGCAAUCUGUUUUAAAUGGGUGCUCUCUGAGGAGAGAGAGAGAGAGAGAGACAGAGAGACAGAAACAGCGAGGCAGAAAUCGAGAGCAAGAGAGCGAGAGAGAGAGAGAGAGAGAAACAGAGUUUGUGUUCGGGGGACAGUGCGUUUUGGAUGAAAUGUGCGUAGAGCAGAAAUGUUUGUUGAGGUAAAUAUGUGUUGGGGAGUGGUUGCUGGUGGGCAGUGCGUUCACGGUAGUGCAGCAGUUAGCGUAACGCUAUUACAGCGCCAGCGACCGGGGUUCAAUUCCCGCCGCUGUCUGUAAGGAGUUUGUACGUUCUCCCCGUGUCUGCGUGGGUUUCCUCCGGGUGCUCCGGUUUCCUCCCACAUUCCAAAGACGUAGGGGUUAGGAAGUUGUGGGCAUGCUAUGUUGGCGCUGGAAGCGUGGCGACACUUGCGGGCUGCCCCCCAGAACACUCUACGCAAAAGGUGCAUCUCACUGUGUGUUUCGAUGUACAUGUGGCUAAUAAAGAAAUUGUAUUGUAUCGUAGUUGGAAGUGUGUUUGUGUGUCUGGGGAACAGAGUGUUUACAGGGGGGAGUGUUGCAGUGUAACCUUGUGCAUCCCUGUGUUAGUACAGCUUGUGCCUCCCGUGUCAUCUGAACAGUGGGCAAACUAUUGUUCAGAAACUAUCAGUGGAAGGAAAUAAAAAUGCAUUGAAGUGAG
Molecule: long non-coding RNA, 1695 nt
Organism: Pristis pectinata (smalltooth sawfish)
Lineage: Eukaryota; Metazoa; Chordata; Chondrichthyes; Rhinopristiformes; Pristidae
Exons: 2
Source: RefSeq, a predicted model, not a curated record